RNAcentral lists this transfer RNA (65 nucleotides) under Dipodomys ordii (Ord's kangaroo rat). It matches the Rfam family "tRNA". Rfam says of the family: Transfer RNA (tRNA) molecules are approximately 80 nucleotides in length. Their secondary structure includes four short double-helical elements and three loops (D, anti-codon, and T loops). The record is from Rfam by way of RNAcentral. Lineage: Eukaryota; Metazoa; Chordata; Mammalia; Rodentia; Heteromyidae.
GGUGGCUCAGUGGUAGAGUGCUUGCCUUGCAUGCAUAAGACCCUGGGUUCGAUUCCUCAGCACCU